GUGCCAGCCGCCGCGGUAAAACCGGCACCUCAAGUUGUCAGGAGGAUUAUUGGGCCUAAAGCAUCCGUAGCCUGCUCUGUAAGUUUCCGGUUAAAUCCAUUAGCUCAACUAAUGGGCUGCCGGAAAAACUGCAAAGCUAGGAAGUGGGAGAGGUAGACGGUACUCGGUAGGAAGGGGUAAAAUCCUUUGAUCUAUUGAUGACCACCUGUGGCGAAGGCGGUCUACCAGAACACGUUCGACGGUGAGGGAUGAAAGCUGGGGGAGCAAACCGGAUUAGAUACCCGGGUAGUCCCAGCUGUAAACGAUGCAGACUCGGUGAUGCACUGGCUUGUGGCCAGUGCAGUGCCGCAGGGAAGCCGUUAAGUUUGCCGCCUGGGAAGUACGUACGCAAGUAUGAAACUUAAAGGAAUUGGCGGGGGAGCACCACAAGGGGUGAAGCCUGCGGUUCAAUUGGAGUCAACGCCAGAAAUCUUACCCGGAGAGACAGCAGAAUGAAGGUCAAGCUGAAGACUUUACCAGACAAGCUGAGAGGUGGUGCAUGGCCGUCGCCAGCUCGUGCCGUGAGAUGUCCUGUUAAGUCAGGUAACGAGCGAGAUCCCUGCCUCUAGUUGCCACCAUUACUCUCAGGAGUAGUGGGGCGAAUUAGCGGGACCGCCACAGUUAAUGUGGAGGAAGGAAGGGGCCACGGCAGGUCAGUAUGCCCCGAAACUCUGGGGCCACACGCGGGCUGCAAUGGUAGUGACAAUGAGUUCCGAAACCGAAAGGUGGAGGUAAUCUUCAAACGCUACCACAGUUAUGAUUGAGGGCUGCAACUCGCCCUCAUGAAUAUGGAAUCCCUAGUAACUGCGUGUCAUUAUCGCGCGGUGAAUACGUCCCUGCUCCUUGUACACACCGCCCGUC
This 900-nucleotide ribosomal RNA is filed under the name uncultured archaeon. RNAcentral describes it as "bacterial SSU rRNA". It matches the Rfam family "Archaeal small subunit ribosomal RNA", at positions 455 to 1354 of the family's 1478-position model. The record is from RNAcentral.